This 484-nucleotide ribosomal RNA is filed under the name uncultured bacterium. Its description in RNAcentral is "partial 16S ribosomal RNA". It matches the Rfam family "Bacterial small subunit ribosomal RNA", at positions 30 to 507 of the family's 1533-position model. The record is from RNAcentral.
AUUGAACGCUGGCGGCAGGCCUAACACAUGCAAGUCGAGCGGAUGAAGGGAGCUUGCUCCUGGAUUCAGCGGCGGACGGGUGAGUAAUGCCUAGGAAUCUGCCUGGUAGUGGGGGAUAACGUCCGGAAACGGGCGCUAAUACCGCAUACGUCCUGAGGGAGAAAGUGGGGGAUCUUCGGACCUCACGCUAUCAGAUGAGCCUAGGUCGGAUUAGCUAGUUGGUGGGGUAAAGGCCUACCAAGGCGACGAUCCGUAACUGGUCUGAGAGGAUGAUCAGUCACACUGGAACUGAGGCACGGUCCAGACUCCUACGGGAGGCAGCAGUGGGGAAUAUUGGACAAUGGGCGGAAGCCUGAUCCAGCCAUGCCGCGUGUGUGAAGAAGGUCUUCGGAUUGUAAAGCACUUUAAGUUGGGAGGAAGGGCGGUAAGUUAAUACCUUGCUGUUUUGACGUUACCAACAGAAUAAGCACCGGCUAACUUCGUG